Molecule: long non-coding RNA, 255 nt
Organism: Physella acuta
Lineage: Eukaryota; Metazoa; Mollusca; Gastropoda; Physidae
Source: RefSeq, a predicted model, not a curated record
UGACAGCACAGGCCCUAGACUGCCCCUUGUGCUACAACAGAUACGACUACACAUCGUGUACGGGUGUGCAAACAUGCCAUCAGUCACAUGACGUGUGUGAGCUGACCGUUCAUCUGACUGACCACAACAGUGUUGAGUACAACUGUCACAGCCGAGUUGCAUGCUACCAUCAUGAACUGACCCACUUCCACCACUGCGAACCGACCCACAUGGAAAAAUGCACGUUCUGCUGCCACGGUCCAACAGAGUGUGAAG